CCGCAUGGUAGAACUAUUAAAGAAUUUCGGUCAUCGGAUGGGGAAUGCGGUUCCAUUAGGUUGUUGGGCGGGGUAACGGCCCACCAAGCCUUCGAUGGAUAGGGGUUCUGAGAGGAAGGUCCCCCACAUUGGAACUGAGACACGGUCCAAACUCCUACGGGAGGCAGCAAGUGAGGAAUAUUGGUCAAUGGACGAGAGUCUGAACCAGCCAAGUAGCGUGAAGGAUGACUGCCCUAUGGGUUGUAAACUUCUUUUAUACGGGAAUAAAGUGAGGCACGCGUGCCUUUUUGUAUGUACCGUAUGAAUAAGGAUCGGCUAACUCCGUGCCAGCAGCCGCGGUAAUACGGAGGAUCCGAGCGUUAUCCGGAUUUAUUGGGUUUAAAGGGAGCGUAGGCGGACGCUUAAGUCAGUUGUGAAAGUUUGCGGCUCAACCGUAAAAUUGCAGUUGAUACUGGGUGUCUUGAGUACAGUAGAGGCAGGCGGAAUUCGUGGUGUAGCGGUGAAAUGCUUAGAUAUCACGAAGAACUCCGAUUGCGAAGGCAGCCUGCUGGACUGUAACUGACGCUGAUGCUCGAAAGUGUGGGUAUCAAACAGGAUUAGAUACCCUGGUAGUCCACACAGUAAACGAUGAAUACUCGCUGUUUGCGAUAUACAGUAAGCGGCCAAGCGAAAGCGUUAAGUAUUCCACCUGGGGAGUACGCCGGCAACGGUGAAACUCAAAGGAAUUGACGGGGGCCCGCACAAGCGGAGGAACAUGUGGUUUAAUUCGAUGAUACGCGAGGAACCUUACCCGGGCUUGAAUUGCAACUGAAUGAUGUGGAGACAUGUCAGCCGCAAGGCAGUUGUGAAGGUGCUGCAUGGUUGUCGUCAGCUCGUGCCGUGAGGUGUCGGCUUAAGUGCCAUAACGAGCGCAACCCUUAUCGAUAGUUACCAUCAGGUUAUGCUGGGGACUCUGUCGAGACUGCCGUCGUAAGAUGUGAGGAAGGUGGGGAUGACGUCAAAUCAGCACGGCCCUUACGUCCGGGGCUACACACGUGUUACAAUGGGGGGUACAGAAGGCAGCUACACGGCGACGUGAUGCUAAUCCCGAAAGCCUCUCUCAGUUCGGAUUGGAGUCUGCAACCCGACUCCAUGAAGCUGGAUUCGCUAGUAAUCGCGCAUCAGCCACGGCGCGGUGAAUACGUUCCCGGGCCUUGUACACACCGCCCGUCAAG
RNAcentral lists this ribosomal RNA (1214 nucleotides) under uncultured bacterium. Its description in RNAcentral is "bacterial SSU rRNA". It matches the Rfam family "Bacterial small subunit ribosomal RNA", at positions 186 to 1401 of the family's 1533-position model. The record is from RNAcentral.